Molecule: ribosomal RNA, 316 nt
Filed under: Escherichia coli
Lineage: Bacteria; Pseudomonadati; Pseudomonadota; Gammaproteobacteria; Enterobacterales; Enterobacteriaceae
Description: bacterial SSU rRNA
Rfam family: Bacterial small subunit ribosomal RNA
Source: RNAcentral
UGCCGUUUUUUGCAGUCGACGGUACAGGAGAGCUUGCUUCUUUGCUGACGAGUGGCGGACGGGUGAGUAAUGUCUGGGAAACUGCCUGAUGGAGGGGGAUAACUACUGGAAACGGUAGCUAAUACCGCAUAACGUCGCAAGACCAAAGAGGGGGACCUUCGGGCCUCUUGCCAUCGGAUGUGCCCAGAUGGGAUAGAAGCGUAGGUGGGGUAACGGCUCAGAGCGAAAGACCGCCCGUGUUGGUCUGAGAGGAUGACCAGCCACACUGGAACUGAGACACGGUCCAGACUCCUACGGGAGGCAUCAGUGGGAUUUU